Erpetoichthys calabaricus (reedfish) is the source of this 4463-nucleotide RNA transcript. It is a transcript of the gene named calpain 7, with no coding region annotated. The transcript has 2 exons. Lineage: Eukaryota; Metazoa; Chordata; Cladistia; Polypteriformes; Polypteridae. The record is from RefSeq and is a predicted model, not a curated record.
UACUUUUUAAUUAACUUCUCUUAAGCAUUUUUUGAACCCAUAAUAACUUAUAACAACUUUUGUGGACUUUCUGUGAACUCUUCAAGUAAACUUUUAGCCAAAUUGAACUCGAUUUGAAAGCUUAUCGGGAUUGUCGGGCGCGGUUAACAACUCCUAAUGAUGGCAGGAUCAGUGCAAGGAAACUGGAUAUGCAGGGCACUUACCUGUCUUGUACUAGCCCUCUGCCUCCUGUCAACGAUGAUUCAGCCGGUUUUAAGCCUGUAUCAAUAUUCGGCGGCGGAUCUUCUUUGACUUCGUCCAAGGAUGACUGGAUCUCCUGUGGACGUCCUGUUAACUUUCCCGGACAUCUUUUUUCGGCCACGACGGAGAUAUAUCCAUAGAGGCUCCCGCCGGAAUUUUCAACAGGAUACACGAGCUCCAAUAACCUCUUACUGGUCCACUUCUCGUCCAUCGCUGAGGCCAUCUGGCAGAACUUCGGAUCCGAGUGUGUUAGCCAGCCUAGCUACAGUGGCUAGCGCUCCUGCUCAUCUCAGCGAGGAUACCAUUAACUUUGCUCAUCUCAACAUCCGUUCCCUUACAGGUAAGACCCAUCUCAUUCAGGAUCUUCUUACGGAUCGUAACAUCGACAUCCUUUCUCUAAAUGAGACAUGGCAGCAACCCCAGGACUUUACUUUGCUCAACGAAGCAACACCUCCCGGGUUUGUUUACAUGGCGCAGCCUCGCAACUCUGGUCGUGGAGGAGGUCUUGCGAUAUUUUACCGCGAGACAAUGCGAGUUACGCCGCUGACAGUCUCUUCCUAUGGUUCAUUUGAGUCUCUUGUCUGUCAACUACCUGGCUCUAUUCCCACCAUUGUUGCAACUAUUUACCGUCCUCCUAAAUUCAACAAACAGUUUCUGAAUGACUUUUCUGCUUUUUUAGCUUAUUUGUCCUCGUUAUCUUCGACCAUAAUAAUAAUGGGUGAUUUUAACAUUCAUUUGGAUAACAGUAAGUCCUCGGCGACCAGAGAUUUUAUUUCUUGCCUUGAUAACUUUGACUUUCAGCAGUUUAUUGAAACCCCGACACAUGUCAAAGGACAUAUCUUGGAUUUGAUUUGCUGUACUGGACUUACUCCGAAUGACUGUACUGCGGAAGAAUUUCCCUCUUCAGAUCAUUUUCUCCUUACAUUUAACAUGACUCUUACUGUCUACACCAUUAAACCUCUUCGUGUAAUAACUUUUAGGAAUCUUAAAAAUAUCAACAUGAGCAAUUUUCAAUUAGGUAUUGAUAUACUUGUGGAAUCAUUACAAACUAUUUCUCCGCCAGAUUUAGUUAACUUUUAUAACGAAGGACUUCUUGACAUUUUGAAUUCGGUAGCCCCACUCAAAACCCGAUCAGUUUCAUUUACACACACUGCCCCUUGGUUUACACCAACUUUGCGCAUUUUAAAAUCUAAAGGUCGGCAGUUGGAACGGCUGUACAAGAAGACAGGUCUUAAUGUUCAUAAAGAAAUGUAUUUUAGCCAUAUGCAUCACUAUAGGGGCAGCAUACGACAUGCUAAAGCUGCCUAUUUUACUGCCCUAAUUUCUUCCAACAAGGGGAACUCUGGAACACUUUUUUCCUUGCUUAGAUCGCUAACAAGUCCCCCAGACUCUCUUUCCUUGCACUGCCUUUCUAAUGAAUUUUGUAACACCUUAAUGACAUUUUUUAAUGAUAAAAUCCAGGCAAUACAUUAUAAUUUAGGCUCUGUUGCUAUUGACUCCGCCAUUGAUGAUUUUCCUCCUCCUACUCAUUCAUUUUCCAUGUUUGAGCUUCCUUCCACCUCAGAGAUCAUGGAUCUCAUCAAUAGCUCUAAGCCUUCAACCUGUCACUUGGAUCCAAUUCCCACUGUUCUGAUUAAAACCUGCCUUCCCUCGCUAGCUCCUCUUGUUGUUUCAAUUAUUCACUCGUCACUUUCCACCAGAAUUGUUCACCAGUCUAUAAAAACUGCAGUGAUUCACCCCCUACUGAAAAAACCUGGGGUUGACCCUACUGACUUUAAUAAUUUCCGACCAAUUUCUAAUCCUCCUUUUAUUUCAAAGGUUCUUGAAAAAACUGUGGCUUCCCAACUUCAUCAGUAUUUAUCUGCUAACAGUUUAUACGAACCAUUCCAGUCAGGCUUCCGACGUUUUCACAGCACUGAGACGGCACUAGUUAAGAUCACUAAUGAUCUUUUAGUGGCUGCAGACUCAGGCCUAAUCACAAUCCUUGUUCUUCUUGACCUCAGUGCUGCAUUUGACACUGUCUGUCAUUUCACCCUGCUAAAAAGGCUAUCUGCACGAGGUGUUUCUCACAUUCCGUUAACUUGGUUUAAGUCAUAUCUUACAGACAGAACUCAAUUCAUUCAGCUGGAUACAUGUACCUCCACUCCCACUCCUGUAGUAUCUGGGGUUCCUCAGGGUUCUGUCCUUGGCCCCUUGCUGUUUAUCAUUUAUCUGCUUCCUUUGGGUGUCAUUUUUCAUAAAUGGAAGAUAAACUUUCAUUGUUACGCAGAUGACACCCAGUUAUAUAUUUCCACUUCACCAUCUGCAUCGCUUCCACCAUCCUCACUUACUGAUUGCCUUGCUGAGAUCAAGUCUUGGUUAUCUUCCAACUUCUUGCAGUUGAACUCUAAUAAAACUGAGGUGCUUCUUAUGGGCACGAAAUCUGCAAUAGCGAAGGCAUCAAAGAUCUCAGUAGUAAUAGACAAUACUUCUGUUACCUGUACAGAUCAGAUAAAAAGCCUUGGUGUAAUUCUGGACAGCACGUUAUCUUUCCAGUCUCACAUCAGUUCUGUUACUCGAGCAGCUUACUUUCACCUGCGAAACAUUAAUCGCUUGCGUCCAUUUUUGUCAAAUCACUCUACUGCCAUUUUAGUCAACAGUUUGGUCACCUCCCGCCUGGACUAUUGCAAUUCACUUCUCUUUGGUCUGCCUCAAAAGUUAUUACAUAAACUUCAACUUGUUCAAAAUUCGGCUGCUCGUAUAAUUACUAAAACACCCUAUUCUGAUCACAUUACACCCGUUAUUCAGCAGCUUCAUUGGCUGCCAAUAAAGUUUAGGGUCAACUACAAAAUUUUAGUCCUUACAUAUAAGGCCAUUCAUAAUCUUGCCCCCACAUAUCUCUCACAGCUCCUACAAGUCACUAAACCCUCUCGUAUGCUCAGAUCCUCUUUUUCCAUUAACUUAAAUAAUCCACCAGCACGUCUUGUUACGAUGGGAUAUCGCGCAUUUAGCAGAUCGGCACCUUCCUUAUGGAACUCAUUACCUGCUUAUCUUAGGAAUAUGACUACCCUUCACCAAUUUCAGGCUAAUCUUAAAACUUAUCUGUUCAAAAUUGCUUAUUCAUUGUAACUGUUAUUGCUGUUUUAUCUGAUGUUUUAUUUGGAUUUUAAAUUGUCUAGUUAUUGAAUGUUUAUUUUUUAACCUGAUUGUACAGUGACCUUGAGUUUUUUGAAAGGCGCUUCAAAUAAAAUGUAUUAUUAUUAUUAUUAUCUGGAACACCUGGAAAAACAUCAGUGGGCUUUGAGGGGUCUGGACGUCCACAUCCUUCCUCGUAGGCCUCGUCUGCCGUUCAUUGGUGUGAUGAGGGGCAGACAGAAAAUGCGAGUUGCCGAGUCGCGAAUGUCACGUUGGACGCCCGACGAAAUCGGAACUGCAAAAUCGGACAAUGUGGGUGAAACGGAGCUCCCCGAAUUGUCAGUGGUGACGUAACGCUGACCCUUCACCUUAGUCAGCUAUUUAAAAUGAAACACACAAUCUGGUCAGUCUGAAUUGGCGUUUUGUGUUCAAUAUGCGUAUUUAAUGCGUUUAUUAUGUUCCUUACUUCAACAAAAAUUCCUUUUCUCUUUGAUUGCUUUUCUUGGGCAGACCGAGUAACAAAUCGGCAGCGACUUCACAUUUUUCUGAAUAUCCCGACCAGCAACCCACGUGAGCGCACUGAAGUGGGAAGGUGAAACGUCACAACUCGGAGCUCCGAAUAACCCGAAGUCACAGCAGCUGUUAGCAGCGUAAAGGCACAGCAGACCCCCUGACCUGCUCAUCGGGGCCUCUGGGCUCAGCGAGCGUCACUGUGCAGAAAAUCCAAAGGUGUAAAGCCGGGCCCGUGUGUGCCAGUUACUCAGUUGUGUUCGCACAGGGCACACCCACCCACAUUAAUAAAAGUGUAACUGGUGUUCUAAAGACGGUCGGCCUUUAUGAAGCUGCAGACAUGGCGUCUUAACCCUGUGCUUAACACAACAGGUGACAGCCACGGGGCCGAUGGCCGCGUCACUCGUGUCCUCCUCUGACAUUUCUUUGUCUUUUUUCUGAUGUUGGCAGGCAGUACAGCGUGGGCUUUGAACUCCUCACUGUCUCCACGGUGACCGAUCCCGGACCCUCCGGCUUUCAGAAGACGAACAGCGGAGAUUACAGGUGCGGAUUUUGCUACUUGGAGUUGGAGGCGAUUCCUGCCGGCGUUUACAACAUCA